AUGUGCAUAUCGUAAUCCUUAUGGAGAAGUACACUGCGUUCAUAUUUCAGAUUCAAAUGCUUAACUGCGUUCGUAUUCCAGAUUCACAAACAGUUUCUGGUCAACGGACUGAUCGGUAACGUUACUCUACUUGUCCUCCGAUUUAAGCGGCGCGCUCCGAUUUCGGUUGCUUCAUAGGACUCACUUGAAUCAUCUCGGAAGUGGAUUUCGGUUGGUUCAGAUCUCUUUGGGUAUAUUCGAAACCAACUAAAAUACGUUGAAUUACUGAAUCAACAGAAAUAACUGAAAUCGAGAAUCAACUUCUUCAUCAUAUUUUUCAUGCAUUUCCAUUAGCCACAGUUGUACGAAGAAACUGUUCGAUUUCACGGUUUGUUAGAGAACCUUAUUCAGAUAUACAACGGGUUCGUGUGAAUCUAAGUAAUAAUAUGUAAUAGUUAGCGAUUUAGUGUGUAGGGUUUAGGGUUUAGGGUUUCGGCUAUGUAUUGUAUUACAUUUUGUAUGAAAGUGUUGUGUUUUGUGUUAUU
Molecule: long non-coding RNA, 524 nt
Filed under: Helianthus annuus (common sunflower)
Lineage: Eukaryota; Viridiplantae; Streptophyta; Magnoliopsida; Asterales; Asteraceae
Description: hypothetical non coding rna
Source: RNAcentral